GAGAAGAUGGCGGAAGCGGAGUGAGUGACUAGAUGGUGACUGAUGUCGUAACUAGGGGGGGCGAGUUGGGGCAGCGACACGUUCCCCCAGGGGAAAGCUCAGGGCUCUUUUGCGGGCAGUGUGGGGAAAGAGAGACUCGAGACCCGUCCUAUCGUGGAGGAGCCUGCUAGGCCCGUGUCGCGGGGCGAAGACGAACUCUAGGGUCCAGUUACCCUCCAGGCAGGAGCGCCCCUUCCGCCAUCAGGUCCCGGAUCUGCGCGGCCCUGCGCGCAGGGUCACCCUUGGGACUCCGGGAGCUGGGGUUUUCCGGGGAACGAGCCCGGGUGGGCUCCUCAGGCGCUGUCAUUCCUGCAAGUGGGCCCCGCGGGCAGCCUUGUUACGGCUGCCUGCGCAGGGGCCCGCGGAGGCUGGGUAGGGCAGGGCGGGCACUGCCAGGCCUCCUUCGCCUUCUUCUCCUUCCCGCCCCGGCGCCACCCCAUUCCUCCUCAGCGGGAGAAUCCGACACGCGGGGCUGCCCGCUUCCCUCGUGCCGGAGGCGUGCAGGAGGUGUCCCGGCGUGGGCCUGAGAGCGGCGGGGGCUGCUUGCAGGUCUGGUGAGGCUGAAAACACCCUGAAAGAAAGGUCUUUCCCUCGAGUCUCUGGGUGCAGCGUUGCUGCCUCACACGCGGGCCACAUUCUUGUGUGUCGGUGUGACGGUAUGUUUAGUUAACGACUCCAGAACUUACUGUUUCCUGGGUAGGCCUCUUGUGCACCAGAACUGCUGGCUGUAUUUUGCAGAUUUAAGGACCAUAGUACAGCUAUGGAUACUGAACCAAACCCGGGAACAUCUUCUGUGUCAACAACAACCAGCAGUACCACCACCACCACCAUCACCACUUCCUCCUCUCGAAUGCAGCAGCCACAGAUCUCUGUCUACAGUGGUUCAGACCGACAUGCUGUACAGGUAAUUCAACAGGCAUUGCAUCGGCCCCCCAGCUCAGCUGCUCAGUACCUUCAGCAAAUGUAUGCAGCCCAACAACAGCACUUGAUGCUGCAUACUGCAGCUCUUCAGCAGCAGCAUUUAAGCAGCUCCCAGCUUCAGAGCCUUGCUGCUGUUCAGGCAAGUUUGUCCAGUGGAAGACCAUCUACAUCUCCCACAGGAAGUGUCACACAGCAGUCAAGUAUGUCCCAAACGUCUAUCAACCUCUCCACUUCUCCUACACCUGCACAGUUAAUAAGCCGUUCCCAGGCUUCCAGUUCUACCAGCGGCAGUAUUACCCAACAGACUAUGUUACUAGGGAGUACUUCCCCUACCCUAACGGCAAGCCAAGCUCAAAUGUAUCUCCGAGCUCAAAUGCUGAUUUUCACACCCGCUACCACUGUGGCUGCUGUACAGUCUGACAUUCCUGUUGUCUCGUCGUCAUCGUCAUCUUCCUGUCAGUCUGCAGCUACUCAGGUUCAGAAUUUAACAUUACGCAGCCAGAAGUUGGGUGUAUUAUCUAGCUCACAGAAUGGUCCACCAAAAAGCACUAGUCAAACUCAGUCAUUGACAAUUUGUCAUAACAAAACAACAGUGACCAGUUCUAAAAUCAGCCAACGAGAUCCUUCUCCAGAAAGUAAUAAGAAAGGAGAAAGCCCAAGCCUGGAAUCACGAAGCACAGCUGUCACCCGGACAUCAAGUAUUCACCAGUUAAUAGCACCAGCUUCAUAUUCUCCAAUUCAGCCUCAUUCUCUAAUAAAACAUCAGCAGAUUCCUCUUCAUUCACCACCUUCCAAAGUUUCCCAUCAUCAGCUGAUAUUACAACAGCAGCAACAGCAAAUUCAGCCAAUCACACUUCAGAAUUCAACUCAAGACCCACCCCCAUCCCAGCACUGUAUACCACUCCAGAACCAUGGCCUUCCUCCAGCUCCCAGUAAUGCCCAGUCACAGCAUUGUUCACCGAUUCAGAGUCAUCCCUCUCCUUUAACAGUGUCUCCUAAUCAGUCACAGUCAGCACAGCAGUCUGUAGUGGUGUCUCCUCCACCACCUCAUUCACCAAGUCAGUCUCCUACUAUAAUUAUUCAUCCACAAGCACUUAUUCAGCCACACCCUCUUGUGUCAUCAGCUCUCCAGCCAGGGCCAAAUUUGCAGCAGCCCACUGCUAAUCAGGUGCAACCUACAGCACAGUUGAAUCUUCCAUCCCAUCUUCCACUUCCAGCUUCCCCUGUUGUACACAUUGGCCCAGUUCAGCAGUCUGCCUUGGUAUCCCCAGGCCAGCAGAUUGUCUCUCCAUCACACCAGCAAUAUUCAUCCCUGCAGUCCUCUCCAAUCCCAAUUGCAAGUCCUCCACAGAUGUCGACAUCUCCUCCAGCUCAGAUUCCACCACUGCCCUUGCAGUCUAUGCAGUCUUUACAAGUGCAGCCUGAAAUUCUGUCCCAGGGCCAGGUUUUGGUGCAGAAUGCUUUGGUGUCAGAAGAGGAACUUCCAGCUGCAGAAGCUUUGGUCCAGUUGCCAUUUCAGACUCUUCCUCCUCCACAGACUGUUGCGGUAAACCUACAAGUGCAACCACCAGCACCUGUUGAUCCACCAGUGGGAAUGCAUUUGAACCAGUGUCAUCUGCACAAAGUUUUUUCUCUUAAGGUUUAUCAGGUAGAAGAUGUGUGUGAAGAAGAAAUGCCAGAAGAGUCAGAUGAAUGUGUCCGGAUGGAUAGAACCCCACCACCACCCACUUUGUCUCCAGCAGCUAUAACAGUGGGGAGAGGAGAAGAUUUGACUUCUGAACAUCCUUUGUUAGAGCAAGUGGAAUUACCUGCUGUGGCAUCAGUCAGUGCUUCAGUAAUUAAAUCUCCAUCAGAUCCCUCACAUGUUUCUGUUCCACCACCUCCAUUGUUACUUCCAGCUGCCACCACAAGGAGUAACAGUACAUCUAUGCACAGUAGCAUUCCCAGUAUAGAGAACAAACCUCCACAGGCUAUUGUUAAACCACAGAUCCUAACCCAUGUUAUUGAAGGCUUUGUGAUUCAGGAGGGAUUGGAGCCAUUUCCUGUGAGUCGUUCCUCUUUGCUAAUAGAACAGCCUGUGAAAAAACGGCCUCUUUUGGAUAAUCAGGUGAUAAAUUCAGUGUGUGUUCAGCCAGAGCUACAGAAUAAUACAAAACAUGCGGAUAAUUCAUCUGACACAGAGAUGGAAGACAUGAUUGCUGAAGGUACAAUGUUAGCUGUUCUAAAAAAUUUGCACUUAGUCGUUGGAAUCGUAAGCCUGAUAAUCAAAGUCUUGGGCAUCGUGGCCGUCGUCCAAGUGGCCCUGAUGGGGCAGCGAGAGAACAUAUCCUUAGGCAGCUUCCAAUUACUUAUCCAUCUGCAGAAGAAGACUUGGCUUCUCAUGAAGAUUCUGUGCCAUCUGCUAUGACAACUCGUCUGCGCAGGCAGAGCGAGCGGGAAAGAGAACGUGAGCUUCGGGAUGUGAGAAUUCGGAAAAUGCCUGAGAACAGUGACUUGCUACCAGUUGCACAAACAGAGCCAUCUAUAUGGACAGUUGAUGAUGUCUGGGCCUUCAUCCAUUCUUUGCCUGCACUACUGGGUAUUUUCUCAUACCCCCCAAGUCGAUAAAAACUGACUAGUCCUGCUUCUGCUGUGACACCUCAGCCGGUGAAGAUAUUAAAGGUGCUUUCUUCUCUUCAGUCUGAUUUCUCUCGAGAGGCUGCCAGGAUAUCGCAGAUGAAUUCAGAGCACAGGAGAUUGAUGGACAGGCCCUUCUCUUGCUAAAAGAAGACCAUCUCAUGAGUGCAAUGAAUAUCAAGCUAGGCCCAGCCCUGAAGAUCUGUGCACGCAUCAACUCUCUGAAGGAAUCUUAACAGGAACAUGAAGCCUUGAUAAAACAGCAGUUUUACUCUUCUCACACAAACUUGUAAGGUAAAGGCCUAACUUGGUCUAGAAUAUGACACUUAUUGUGGUGGAUAGCCAAGCACAUUGGGAUCUCCGCAUCAAAUACUGACAUUUCUUCUACAGGUAUAAUAAUUCAUCAUGCAUUUUCAUAAUUAAUAAACAUUGGUAAAAUUAAUUUUACAGGUUACAUGAAACAUUGAAAGACUUGUUACAGAGGGCCAUGAUAUUUUUCAAAGAAAUGUGUUAUACUAGAUAAUUUUUUUAAAGGUGAUGUUUAUCAUUAAUAUAAAGAAUCCUUUUAAAAGUAA
Molecule: RNA transcript, 4151 nt
Organism: Pan troglodytes (chimpanzee)
Lineage: Eukaryota; Metazoa; Chordata; Mammalia; Primates; Hominidae
Gene: PHC3
Gene name: polyhomeotic homolog 3
Exons: 16
Source: RefSeq, a predicted model, not a curated record